CAGCCGCCGCGGUAAUACGGAGGGCGCGAGCGUUGUCCGGAUUCACUGGGCGUAAAGCGGGUGUAGGCGGUCGGGUAAGUCGGACGUGAAAGCCCGGGGCUCAACCCCGGAAGGGCGUCCGAAACUGCUCGACUUGAGGGCGGGAGAGGGAGGUGGAAUUCCCGGUGUAGCGGUGAAAUGCGUAGAUAUCGGGAGCAACACCAGUGGCGAAGGCGGCCUCCUGGCCCGCUCCUGACACUGAGACCCGAAAGCGUGGGGAGCAAACCGGAUUAGAUCCCCGGGUAGUCCACGCCGUAAACGGUGGGCACUAGGUGUGGGGGGUUAAUCCCUCCGUGCCGAAGCUAACGCAUUAAGUGCCCCGCCUGGGGAGUACGGCCGCAAGGUUGAAACUUAAAGGAAUUGGCGGG
This 407-nucleotide ribosomal RNA is filed under the name uncultured microorganism. RNAcentral describes it as "bacterial SSU rRNA". It matches the Rfam family "Bacterial small subunit ribosomal RNA", at positions 509 to 917 of the family's 1533-position model. The record is from RNAcentral.